UACGUAGGUGACAAGCGUUGUCCGGAUUUACUGGGCGUAAAGAGCGCGCAGGCGGUCGAUCAAGUCGAGUGUGAAAGCCCCCGGCUCAACUGGGGAGGGUCAUUCGAUACUGAUCGACUCGAAGGCAGGAGAGGGUAGUGGAAUUCCCGGUGUAGUGGUGAAAUGCGUAGAUAUCGGGAGGAACACCAGUGGCGAAGGCGACUACCUGGCCUGUUCUUGACGCUGAGGCGCGAAAGCGUGGGGAGCGAACAGG
RNAcentral lists this ribosomal RNA (253 nucleotides) under uncultured bacterium. RNAcentral describes it as "partial 16S ribosomal RNA". It matches the Rfam family "Bacterial small subunit ribosomal RNA", at positions 524 to 776 of the family's 1533-position model. The record is from RNAcentral.